GAUCAUGGCUCAGGAUGAACGCUGGCGGCGUGCUUAACACAUGCAAGUCGAACGAAGCACUCUAUAAGAUUUCUUUCGGGAAUGACGAUUUAGUGACUGAGUGGCGGACGGGUGAGUAACGCGUGGGUAACCUGCCUCAUACAGGGGGAUAACAGUUGGAAACGACUGCUAAUACCGCAUAAGCGCACAGUACCGCAUGGUACCGUGUGAAAAACUCCGGUGGUAUGAGAUGGACCCGCGUCUGAUUAGCUGGUUGGUGGGGGUAACGGCCUACCAAGGCAACGAUCAGUAGCCGACCUGAGAGGGUGACCGGCCACAUUGGGACUGAGACACGGCCCAAACUCCUACGGGAGGCAGCAGUGGGGAAUAUUGCACAAUGGGCGAAAGCCUGAUGCAGCGACGCCGCGUGAGUGAAGAAGUAUUUCGGUAUGUAAAGCUCUAUCAGCAGGGAAGAAAAUGACGGUACCUGACUAAGAAGCCCCGGCUAACUACGUG
This 495-nucleotide ribosomal RNA is filed under the name uncultured bacterium. Its description in RNAcentral is "bacterial SSU rRNA". It matches the Rfam family "Bacterial small subunit ribosomal RNA", at positions 15 to 507 of the family's 1533-position model. The record is from RNAcentral.